CAAAGUUGUGUAGUGCGAUCGGUGGAUGCCUUGGCACCAAGAGCCGAUGAAGGACGUUGUGACCUGCGAUAAGCCCUGGGGAGUUGGUGAGCGAGCUGUGAUCCGGGGGUGUCCGAAUGGGGAAACCUGGAAUGUCCGGAGUAGUGUCCGGUGGCCCUGCCCUGAAUGUAUAGGGGUGUGGGUGGUAACGCGGGGAAGUGAAACAUCUUAGUACCCGUAGGAAGAGAAAACAAGUGUGAUUCCGUGAGUAGUGGCGAGCGAAAGCGGAGGAGGCUAAACCGUGUGUGUGUUCAAGCCGGCAGGUGUUGCAUGUGCGGGGUUGUGGGGGCCUUGUGGUUCUGCUGCCGCAGGAUUGGCCAGUGAGAAAUGUUGCGUGAAGGUGAAGCGUCUGGGAAGGCGUACCGGAGUGGGUGAGAGUCCUGUAACUGUAAGCGUGGCGCUGGUGUGGGGUUGCCCCGAGUAGCGUGGGACUCGUGGAAUUUCGCGUGAAUCUGGCGGGACCACCCGUCAAGCCUAAAUACUCCUUGGUGACCGAUAGUGGAUGAGUACCGUGAGGGAAGGGUGAAAAGUACCCCGGGAGGGGAGUGAAAGAGUUCCUGAAACCGGUCGCAUGCAAGCCGUCAGAGCCUGUGUGGUGAUGGCGUGCCUUUUGAAGAAUGAGCCUGCGAGUUAGUGAUGCGUGGCGAGGUUAACCCGUGGUGGGGGAGUCGUAGCGAAAGCGAGUCCGAUAAGGGCGUGAGUCGCGUGUUCUAGACCCGAAGCGGUGUGAUCUAUCCAUGGCCAGGAUGAAGCGUCGGUAAGACGUCGUGGAGGUCCGAACCCACUUCAGUUGAAAAUGGAGGGGAUGAGUUGUGGAUAGGGGUGAAAGGCCAAUCAAACACCGUGAUAGCUGGUUCUCCCCGAAAUGCAUUUAGGUGCAGCGUUGCGUGGUUCUUGUUGGAGGUAGAGCACUGGAUGGUCUAGGGGGCUUAUCGGCUUACCGAAAUCAGCCAAACUCCGAAUGCUGGCAAGUGUAGCGUGGCAGUGAGACGGCGGGGGAUAAGCUUCGUCGUCGAGAGGGAAACAGCCCAGAUCAUCAGCUAAGGCCCCUAAGUGGUGACUCAGUGGGAAAGGAUGUGGAGUUGCGUAGACAACCAGGAGGUUGGCUUGGAAGCAGCCAUCCUUGAAAGAGUGCGUAAUAGCUCACUGGUCAAGUGAUUCCGCGCCGAUAAUGUAGCGGGGCUUAAGUUAUCCGCCGAAGCUGUGGCAACCUGUGUGGUUGGGUAGGGGAGCGUCGUGUCAGUGGUGAAGCUGCCGGGUGACUGUGUGGUGGAGUUGAUGCGAGUGAGAAUGCAGGCAUGAGUAGCGUGUGACGGGUGGGAAUCCCGUCCGCCGAUUAUCCAAGGGUUCCAGGGUCAAGUUUGUCUGCCCUGGGUGAGUCGGGUCCUAAGGCGAGGCCGACAGGCGUAGUCGAUGGGUAACCAGUUGAUAUUCUGGUACCGGCUUGUCACCGUCCGUGUCGAGGUGUGUGAUGCUAAGCAUGUGAGCUUGUCUUGGGAGUGUUUUUGAUGCUUCUGGGGUGGGUGAGUGUGUGAACCGAUCAUGUAGUAGGCAAGCUGCGGAGGGACGCAGUGAGGUAGCUCAUCCCCGGUGAUGGUUGUCCGGGGCUAAGUGUGUGGACUGUCUGGUAGGUAAAUCCGCUGGGCGUGAAGGUUGAGGCAUGAUGGGGAGCCCAUGGUUGUGGGUGAGUGAGUGAUCCUGUACUGUCGAGAAAAGCUUCGUGAGCGAGGUGGCGGGUCCGCCCGUACCCUAAACCGACACUGGUGGAUAGGUAGAGUAUACCGAGGCGAUCGAGUGAAUCGUGGUGAAGGAACUCGGCAAAAUGCCCCCGUAACUUUGGGAUAAGGGGGACCUGAGCUGUCGUGCACCCGUGCGGUGUGGUGGCGGUGAGGGGCGCAGAGUCCAGGGGGAAACGACUGUUUACCAAAAACACAGGUCCGUGCGAAGUCGUAAGACGAUGUAUACGGACUGACUCCUUCCCGGUGCUGGAAGGUUAAGGGGAACUGUGAGUGUAUGCUUAGCGGUGAACUUAAGCCCCAGUAAACGGCGGUGGUAACUAUAACCAUCCUAAGGUAGCGAAAUUCCUUGUCGGGUAAGUUCCGACCUGCACGAAUGGAGUAACGACUUGGGCGCUGUCUCAACCGUGGACUCGGCGAAAUUGCACUACGAGUAAAGAUGCUCGUUACGCGCGGCAGGACGGAAAGACCCCGGGACCUUUACUAUAGUUUGGUAUUGGUGUUUGGUUCG
This 2286-nucleotide ribosomal RNA is filed under the name human gut metagenome. Its description in RNAcentral is "bacterial LSU rRNA". It matches the Rfam family "Bacterial large subunit ribosomal RNA", at positions 1 to 2131 of the family's 2925-position model. The record is from RNAcentral.